GACGAGGUGGCCGAGUGGUUAAGGCGAUGCACUGCUAAUCCAACGCAUGGGUUCAAAUCCCAUCCUCGUCG
Molecule: non-coding RNA, 71 nt
Organism: Pseudophryne corroboree (corroboree frog)
Lineage: Eukaryota; Metazoa; Chordata; Amphibia; Anura; Myobatrachidae
Source: the annotation of a RefSeq genome assembly